RNAcentral lists this ribosomal RNA (102 nucleotides) under Musa acuminata subsp. malaccensis (wild Malaysian banana). The record is from RNAcentral. Lineage: Eukaryota; Viridiplantae; Streptophyta; Magnoliopsida; Zingiberales; Musaceae.
GAGUGCGAUCAUACCAGCACUAAAGCACCGGAUCCCAUCAAAACUCCAAAGUUAAGCGUGCUUGGGCCAGAGUAGUACUGGGAAGUCCUCAUGUUGCAUUCC